RNAcentral lists this ribosomal RNA (500 nucleotides) under uncultured bacterium. RNAcentral describes it as "partial 16S ribosomal RNA". It matches the Rfam family "Bacterial small subunit ribosomal RNA", at positions 29 to 507 of the family's 1533-position model. The record is from RNAcentral.
AAUCAACGCUGGCGGCGUGCCUAACACAUGCAAGUCGAACGCGAAAGCCCCGCAAGGGGUAAGUAGAGUGGCAAACGGGUGAGUAACACGUGGGUGACCUGCCUUCGAGUGGGGGAUAACGUCCCGAAAGGGACGCUAAUACCGCAUGACAUCCUGCUUUUGAACAAGCGGAGAUCAAAGCUGGGGAUCGCAAGACCUAGCGCUUGAAGAGGGGCCCGCGCCUGAUUAGCUAGUUGGUGAGGUAACGGCUCACCAAGGCGACGAUCAGUAUCCGGCCGGAGAGGGCGGACGGCCACACUGGGACGGAGACACGGCCCAGACUCCUACGGGAGGCAGCAGUGGGGAAUUGUUCGCAAUGGGCGCAAGCCUGACGACGCAACGCCGCGUGGAGGACGAAGAUCUUCGGGUCGUAAACUCCUGUCGAGCGGGACGAACGCUUCGCGGAUGAAUAAUCCGCGGAAUUGACGGUACCGCUAAAGGAAGCCCCGGCUAACUCCGUG